Molecule: long non-coding RNA, 583 nt
Filed under: Haliotis rubra (blacklip abalone)
Lineage: Eukaryota; Metazoa; Mollusca; Gastropoda; Lepetellida; Haliotidae
Description: uncharacterized LOC124256906, transcript variant X1
Source: RNAcentral
CUCCAGGUGUGGGGUUUAUGUACACACCACAACAACAGUCUCCAGGUGUGGGGUUUAUGUACACACCACAACAACAGUCUCCAGGUGUGGGGUUUAUGUACACACCACAACAACAGUCUCCAGGUGUGGGGUUUAUGUACACACCACAACAACAGUCUCCGGGUGUGGGGUUUAUGUACACACCACAACAACAGUCUCCAGGUGUGGGGUUUAUGUACACACCUUAACAACAGUCUCCAGGUGUGGGGUUUAUGUACACACCACCACAACAGUCUCCAGAUGUGGGGUUUAUGUACACACCACAACAACAGUCUCAGUGUUUGAGGUGUAAUAUAUACUUCAUAUCAGCCAUCGCCAGAUGUGAUUUGUCCACCACCACAGUGGUCUCAAUGUGUAACCGCACAACAUCCGUGUGCUUGAAAACCAUCAUCAAUAUUCCUCCGCCAACACUGUGGUUGGUUGUACUGACACGCCACGGUCACAUGACUCCAGGCUCCCUGUCGCGGAGCAUCAAUUAUUCAUGCUUGCAGCUGCACGCUGGCUGUCCUCAGCGGUCCUGUGUGACUGUGUACUGACGGUGUUG